Small RNA from Ruminococcus sp. CAG:108, 74 nucleotides. It matches the Rfam family "Gut-1 RNA". The record is from Rfam. NCBI's taxonomy places the organism in Bacteria, Bacillati, Bacillota, Clostridia, Eubacteriales, Oscillospiraceae.
CAGUGAAAUAAAUCCAAAAGGAUUUGUUAAAUACCUAUCGGUGUGAAAUAUGGAUUUUCCAUGUGAAGUGCCUG